RNAcentral lists this ribosomal RNA (422 nucleotides) under uncultured bacterium. RNAcentral describes it as "bacterial SSU rRNA". It matches the Rfam family "Bacterial small subunit ribosomal RNA", at positions 355 to 774 of the family's 1533-position model. The record is from RNAcentral.
UGAGGAAUAUUGGUCAAUGGACGGAAGUCUGAACCAGCCAUGCCGCGUGAAGGAUGAAGGCGUUCUGCGUUGUAAACUUCUUUUAUCUGGGAAGAAACCACAGAUUUCUAUUUGUGUUGACGGUACCAGAUGAAUAAGCACCGGCUAACUCCGUGCCAGCAGCCGCGGUAAUACGGAGGGUGCGAGCAUUAUCCGGAUUUACUGGGUUUAAAGGGUGCGUAGGCGGGCUAUUAAGUCAGAGGUGAAAUCUCCGGGCUCAACCUGGAAACUGCCUUUGAUACUAUUAGACUUGAAUUAUGUUGAGGUUGGCGGAAUAUAACAUGUAGCGGUGAAAUGCUUAGAUAUGUUAUGGAACACCGAUUGCGAAGGCAGCUGGCUAAACAUAUAUUGACGCUGAUGCACGAAAGCGUGGGUAGCGAACA